ACGCUGGCGGCAGGCUUAACACAUGCAAGUCGAACGGUAACAGGAAUUAGCUUGCUAAUUUGCUGACGAGUGGCGGACGGGUGAGUAAUGCUUGGGAAUCUGGCUUAUGGAGGGGGAUAACUACGGGAAACUGUAGCUAAUACCGCGUAAAAUCUUCGGAUUAAAGGGUGGGACUUUCGAGCCACCUGCCAUAAGAUGAGCCCAAGUGGGAUUAGGUAGUUGGUUAGGUAAAGGCUGACCAAGCCGACGAUCUCUAGCUGGUCUGAGAGGAUGACCAGCCACACUGGAACUGAGACACGGUCCAGACUCCUACGGGAGGCAGCAGCGGGGAAUAUUGCACAAUGGGGGGAACCCUGAUGCAGCCAUGCCGCGUGAAUGAAGAAGGCCUUCGGGUUGUAAAGUUCUUUCGGUGACGAGGAAGGUUGAUAGGUUAAUAGCCUAUCAAAUUGACGUUAAUCACAGAAGAAGCACCGGCUAACUCCGUGCCAGCAGCCGCGGUAAUACGGGGGGUGCGAGCGUUAAUCGGAAUAACUGGGCGUAAAGGGCACGCAGGCGGUGACUUAAGUGAGAUGUGAAAGCCCCGAGCUUAACUUGGGAAUUGCAUUCCAUACUGGGUCGCUAGAGUACUUUAGGGAGGGGUAGAAUUCCACGUGUAGCGGUGAAAUGCGUAGAGAUGUGGAGGAAUACCGAAGGCGAAGGCAGCCCCUUGGGAAUGUACUGACGCUCAUGUGCGAAAGCGUGGGGAGCAAACAGGAUUAGAUACCCUGGUAGUCCACGCUGUAAACGAUGUCGAUUUGGGGAUUGGGCUUUGAGCUUGGUGCCCGUAGCUAACGUGAUAAAUCGACCGCCUGGGGAGUACGGCCGCAAGGUUAAAACUCAAAUGAAUUGACGGGGGCCCGCACAAGCGGUGGAGCAUGU
RNAcentral lists this ribosomal RNA (918 nucleotides) under uncultured bacterium. Its description in RNAcentral is "bacterial SSU rRNA". It matches the Rfam family "Bacterial small subunit ribosomal RNA", at positions 33 to 942 of the family's 1533-position model. The record is from RNAcentral.